AGUCCAUGGUGAGCACACCUUCUCAACAAAUCCUUAAAUUUCUCCCAUGUAUCAUAAAGAGUCUCAAUAUGGAAUUGAACAAAACAACAAAUAUCAUUCCUCAACUU
Non-coding RNA from Gossypium raimondii (Peruvian cotton), 107 nucleotides. The record is from Rfam. NCBI's taxonomy places the organism in Eukaryota, Viridiplantae, Streptophyta, Magnoliopsida, Malvales, Malvaceae.